ACUUAAAUUGAAGAGUUUGAUCAUGGCUCAGAUUGAACGCUGGCGGCAGGCCUAACACAUGCAAGUCGAGCGGCAGCGGGAAAGUAGCUUGCUACUUUUGCCGGCGAGCGGCGGACGGGUGAGUAAUGCCUGGGGAUCUGC
RNAcentral lists this ribosomal RNA (141 nucleotides) under Aeromonas salmonicida. Its description in RNAcentral is "partial 16S ribosomal RNA". It matches the Rfam family "Bacterial small subunit ribosomal RNA", at positions 1 to 129 of the family's 1533-position model. The record is from RNAcentral. Lineage: Bacteria; Pseudomonadati; Pseudomonadota; Gammaproteobacteria; Aeromonadales; Aeromonadaceae.